Engraulis encrasicolus (European anchovy) is the source of this 779-nucleotide long non-coding RNA. RefSeq lists it as uncharacterized. NCBI's taxonomy places the organism in Eukaryota, Metazoa, Chordata, Actinopteri, Clupeiformes, Engraulidae. The transcript has 13 exons. The record is from RefSeq and is a predicted model, not a curated record.
GUUCAUGCGCUUACUGAAUCUUCAUUUUCUUUCUCAGGUGUGACCGUUCGUUCGACAAGUGAAGCCGGAAGAGUCAGUGAUCAACCACGUUGUCCAGGUGCCUCAAUGUCCAACAGCUCAUCUACCCCCCUUGACCUGCAGCCUGUCAUGGGCUCAAUGAAGGCAUUUACCCCAGUGCAGGGUGGCGCUGGAUCCCUCAAGUGCUUGCAUGGCGGUUGAAGGGCUACCCUGAAGCAUUUGGACGAAGCUGAGCUUGUCUCUAAUCUUCUGGACCAAUCACCAUGUAGCUAGUGGGACCACUGAGGAACCCACAUCUAUUGGAUGAGGAGGCCUAUCCAAGAACAGAAUAGCUUCUUGGGUCAGUCGGCAGUUUUGCAUCAUGGUGUGCACUUGAAACAACUGAAGGUUCAGGCCAUGGACCCUGUGCAUAUUCUGGUGUGACCGUUCAACUGGAGUUUCAGGCCAUGGACCCUGUGCAUAUUCUGAAUUCAUGGAUGCGGCGGCUGUAACAUCAACUGUGAACACAGCUGAGAAGGUUUUGACUCCAACUUAACCACAGCUCUGGCCCUAUUCAUCUAGAAAAGGGGCACUCUUAACGUUUCCAAGCCACAUGGAGAGACGUUCACAUCGGCGUCUGUACUUUGACAUUCUCAUUGAGUUGCCUUAAUUUGUUUAAAGCAUCCAGUUCUUGUACUGUUUACAAUGUAGAUGUGCUUUUCUGAUAUGAACUUCUAACUGUUUUCGUUUCUAAUGCCAAUAAAACAUGUACUUGCAAAACA